GAUGUCGCUGAAUAAACUAUAGACAGAUCAUUUCUGAUUCUGCUGGCAAAAGGAAUAUUUAUCAAAUCAUCAUCUACGUACGGUCGUCUGACACCAUGAAUCGUGUACUGAUCAUCCUAUUGGUUGUUGCCCUAGUUGGCAUGCAAAUGGGCGCUGAUGGCGCUGUCACUGCUACCAGUUCAGAGGCAAUGCAAAAACGUGGCGGGCUGUUUUCACACAUUAAAAGUGGCGCAAAGAAGUUUGGUAGCU
Lineus longissimus is the source of this 249-nucleotide long non-coding RNA. RefSeq lists it as uncharacterized. Lineage: Eukaryota; Metazoa; Nemertea; Pilidiophora; Heteronemertea; Lineidae. The transcript has 3 exons. The record is from RefSeq and is a predicted model, not a curated record.